CUUUACUUUUGUUUACCCUCUCUUCCUUGGCCUUCUUUCUUGCUCUUAUCAAUGGAAUCAAAACAUCUUCUUGGCACCUUCGAAGGGAAAACAACUCCCUCCAACGGUUGCGCAACACGAUCUUUGUCACUCCUGGCCAGAAAUUGAGACUAAUAGACAAAACAUGGCAUAUUGAAAAUGUUCCAUUACACAAAUAGGACGACCGGCUUUCGCUUGAGAUUCGAAGCGAUUCUGGAGGAUUUGCAGAACCCAGUUGCGUGCAUGAGUGUAAGAUUUCACACGAGAUGGGUGGAGGAUUUCUGCUGUGAGGUUACGCCGCAGAAGUCGCCAUGUUGGACCGUAAGAGGAAGAACUAAUAGUAUGCUGAUUGCUAGUUAUAAUUUUUUUCGUAGCAAGAGCUGGUGGGCGGUCCGCAAAAACUGCGCCGCCAUGUAUUAAAGCCUCAUGAGCAAGGGUGCGAUCUGCAACGAAGAUAGCAGGGCGAGUGCCAAUACGGAGGGUAACCAUGGGGCCAAACUUGGCAUGGAGGGAUCGAAGGAUUGGCUCUAUCUUGAAGGCGGACAUGCGGAGCCAUAGUAAGUGGCCGAUGAAAGGAAAGGACAGGGGACCUGGAGGUAGGUUUUUAGAGGUUAAGAAAUUGUUGAAGAUAGUUUUCAAGAACAGAGAGACGGAAAUGGAGACAAGGAUAAGGAACCAACUUUCCAUACUGAAAAAAAUGAAGUGAUGAGUUUAGCAGUGGAAUGGACUCAGAGUGCGCGUGUAUAUACAUAGGCUAGCAAAUUGACUGAGUCUAAUUGUGGAUGCUUUUUUCGUUUCUUGUAGAUAGAAGAAUACAUCGUCUACUUUUUUUAAAAUGUUUUUUUGGACAAAAGCAGCAAAGACUCAAAAUGGGUGGAAUUCAUCGCUAGCUAGCUUGUUUGUUUUUAUGUACUACGUAUUGUAUUACGUCCUCAAUCGUGGCAGAGAGUUAUUAAGUGUUAAUUAUAUUAUUAUUAUAUAAAAGAAAUAAAGGUUUCACCGUAGCUAUUUUAUUAUUUA
Molecule: long non-coding RNA, 1038 nt
Organism: Populus trichocarpa (black cottonwood)
Lineage: Eukaryota; Viridiplantae; Streptophyta; Magnoliopsida; Malpighiales; Salicaceae
Exons: 2
Source: RefSeq, a predicted model, not a curated record